GAACGGACUAUUUUCGGAUAGUUAGUGGCGAAUGGGUGAGUAACACGUAAGUAACCUACCCCUAAGUGGGGAAUAACCCCGGGAAACCGGAGCUAAUACCGCAUGUGAUGGUAUGGGUAAUGCCGUAUCAUUAAAGCCUUCGGGCGCUUGGGGAUGGGCUUGUGGCCGAUUAGCUUGUUGGUGAGGUAACGGCCCACCAAGGCUUUGAUCGGUAGCUGGUUUGAGAGGAUGAUCAGCCACACUGGAACUGAGACACGGUCCAGACUCC
This 268-nucleotide ribosomal RNA is filed under the name uncultured bacterium. RNAcentral's name for it is "partial 16S ribosomal RNA". It matches the Rfam family "Bacterial small subunit ribosomal RNA", at positions 64 to 339 of the family's 1533-position model. The record is from RNAcentral.